UACGAAGGGGACUAGCGUUGUUCGGAAUCACUGGGCGUAAAGCGCACGUAGGCGGAUGUGUCAGUCAGGGGUGAAAUCCCGGGGCUCAACCUCGGAACUGCCUUUGAUACAGCACGUCUCGAGUCCGGAAGAGGUGGGUGGAAUUCCUGGUGUAGCGGUGAAAUGCGCAGAUAUCAGGAGGAACACCAAUGGCGAAGGCAGCUCGCUGGAACGGUACUGACGCUGAGGCGCGAAAGCGUGGGGAGCGAACAGG
RNAcentral lists this ribosomal RNA (253 nucleotides) under uncultured bacterium. RNAcentral describes it as "partial 16S ribosomal RNA". It matches the Rfam family "Bacterial small subunit ribosomal RNA", at positions 524 to 776 of the family's 1533-position model. The record is from RNAcentral.